UGUGUAGGCGGUUGUUUAAGUUUGGUGUGAAAUCUCCCGGCUCAACUGGGAGGGUGCGCCGAAUACUGAAUGACUAGAGUGCGGGAGAGGAGAGUGGAAUUCCUGGUGUAGCGGUGAAAUGCGUAGAUAUCAGGAGGAACACCGGCGGUGUAGACGGCUCUCUGGACCGUAACUGACGCUGAGACACGAAAGCGUGGGUAGCAAACAGGAUUAGAUACCCUGGUAGUCCACGCCCUAAACGAUGCAUAUUUGGUGUGGGUCAUUCAGUUGAUCCGUGCCGGAGCUAACGCGUUAAAUAUACCGCCUGGGGAGUACAGUCGCAAGGCUGAA
RNAcentral lists this ribosomal RNA (330 nucleotides) under uncultured bacterium. RNAcentral's name for it is "bacterial SSU rRNA". It matches the Rfam family "Bacterial small subunit ribosomal RNA", at positions 568 to 898 of the family's 1533-position model. The record is from RNAcentral.